Molecule: ribosomal RNA, 253 nt
Filed under: uncultured bacterium
Lineage: Bacteria
Description: partial 16S ribosomal RNA
Rfam family: Bacterial small subunit ribosomal RNA
Source: RNAcentral
UACGGAGGGGGCGAGCGUUAUUCGGAAUUAUUGGGCGUAAAGGGCGCGUAGGCGGCUGUACAAGUCAAAGGUGAAAUCCCCGGGCUCAACCCGGGAACUGCGUCCGAUACUGGCAGGCUUGAAUCCGGGAGAGGGAUGCGGAAUUCCAGGUGUAGCGGUGAAAUGCGUAGAUAUCUGGAGGAACACCGGUGGCGAAGGCGGCAUCCUGGACCGGCAUUGACGCUGAGGCGCGAAAGCCAGGGGAGCAAACGGG